This 135-nucleotide ribosomal RNA is filed under the name Streptomyces wuyuanensis. Its description in RNAcentral is "Bacterial large subunit ribosomal RNA". It matches the Rfam family "Bacterial large subunit ribosomal RNA", at positions 2792 to 2925 of the family's 2925-position model. Lineage: Bacteria; Bacillati; Actinomycetota; Actinomycetes; Kitasatosporales; Streptomycetaceae. The record is from Rfam by way of RNAcentral.
GCCUGCUUCGAGAUGAGGACUCCCACCCACUUGAUGGGGUAAGGCUCCCAGUAGACGACUGGGUUGAUAGGCCGGAUAUGGAAGCCAGGUGACUGGUGGAGUUGACCGGUACUAAUAGGCCGAGGGCUUGUCCUC